RNAcentral lists this small RNA (127 nucleotides) under Marmota monax (woodchuck). The record is from RNAcentral. Lineage: Eukaryota; Metazoa; Chordata; Mammalia; Rodentia; Sciuridae.
GCCGGGCACCGUGGUGCACACCUGUAAUCCCAGCAACUCUGGAGGCUGAGGCAGGAGGAUGACAGGUUCAAGGCCAGCCUCAGCAACUUAGCAAGACCCUAAGCAACUCAGUGAGAUCCUGUCUCAA